CCUACGGGAGGCAGCAGUAAGGAAUAUUGGUCAAUGGGCGGAAGCCUGAACCAGCCAUGCCGCGUGCAGGAAGACGGCCCUAUGGGUUGUAAACUGCUUUUGUACCGGAAUAAACCCCCGAACGUGUUCGGGGCUGAAUGUACGGUAAGAAUAAGGAUCGGCUAACUCCGUGCCAGCAGCCGCGGUAAUACGGAGGCUCCGAGCGUUAUCCGGAUUUAUUGGGUUUAAAGGGUGCGUAGGCGGCCUGUUAAGUCAGGGGUGAAAGACGGUAGCUCAACUAUCGCAGUGCCUUUGAUACUGACGGGCUUGAAUGUACUUGAGGUAGGCGGAAUGUGACAAGUAGCGGUAGAAAUGCAUAGAUAUGUCACAGAACACCAAUUGCGAAGGCAGCUUACUAAGGUAUGAUUGACGCUGAGGCACGAAAGCGUGGGGAUCAAACAGGAUUAGAUACCCGUGGUAGUCCACGCCCUAAACGAUAGAAUACUCGAUGUUGGCGAUAUACGGCCAGCGUCUAGCGAAAGCGUUAAGUAUUCCACCUGGGGAGUCGCCCGCGAGGGUGAAACUUAAGAGUAGUGCGUGNGAGCGCGACGACGACGACGACGGAGGAG
RNAcentral lists this ribosomal RNA (608 nucleotides) under uncultured bacterium. Its description in RNAcentral is "bacterial SSU rRNA". It matches the Rfam family "Bacterial small subunit ribosomal RNA", at positions 338 to 943 of the family's 1533-position model. The record is from RNAcentral.